AUUGAACGCUGGCGGCAGGCCUAACACAUGCAAGUCGAACGGUAACAGGAAACAGCUUGCUGUUUCGCUGACGAGUGGCGGACGGGUGAGUAAUGUCUGGGAAACUGCCUGAUGGAGGGGGAUAACUACUGGAGACGGUAGCUAAUACCGCAUAACGUCGCAAGACCAAAGAGGGGGACCUUCGGGCCUCUUGCCAUCGGAUGUGCCCAGAUGGGAUUAGCUAGUAGGUGGGGUAACGGCUCACCUAGGCGACGAUCCCUAGCUGGUCUGAGAGGAUGACCAGCCACACUGGAACUGAGACACGGUCCAGACUCCUACGGGAGGCAGCAGUGGGGAAUAUUGCACAAUGGGCGCAAGCCUGAUGCAGCCAUGCCGCGUGUAUGAAGAAGGCCUUCGGGUUGUAAAGUACUUUCAGCGGGGAUGAAGGGAGUAAAGUUAAUACCUUUGCUCAUUGACGUUACCCGCAGAAGAAGCACCGGCUAACUCCGUG
RNAcentral lists this ribosomal RNA (490 nucleotides) under uncultured bacterium. Its description in RNAcentral is "partial 16S ribosomal RNA". It matches the Rfam family "Bacterial small subunit ribosomal RNA", at positions 30 to 507 of the family's 1533-position model. The record is from RNAcentral.